RNAcentral lists this small RNA (161 nucleotides) under Chrysemys picta bellii (western painted turtle). Its description in RNAcentral is "TUC338 (ENSCPBG00000020413.1)". Lineage: Eukaryota; Metazoa; Chordata; Testudines; Emydidae. The record is from RNAcentral.
CUGACAGCCCUGGAAACUGAGGUGUUCAUACUUAUUUGCAGGACAAGCAACAGUAGUGCAAGCUUCCCCGUGCUGACCUGCUGAUGUGUCUCAGCUCUGACCUGGAGGGACCACCUCUAAAAAUGUGAAUGGUUUCUGUCCUCUUUCAGUCCUUAAUCUUU